AAGCUUGACAAGCAGUCAUCAUGCAAGUUGACAAUCUUAAUGGAAAAUCAUUUUCAAUACUUAUCUUUACUAAAUAAAACUUAUCGGUGCUCAUCAGCCAUUGGACAUAAACAUUAAACAACAAGUUAUAAAUCAGAAAUUGAACAAGCAGUGUGUCAAGAAGCAGUGCGGCUUGGCUCUCGACCUUCGCCAAGUCCGUAGCGGGGUGGCAGUGAUGGGACAAGAUCGUAACUACAAAUUGGAUAUUACGAAAAAGGGGGUAACACCAUGGGACAGAAAAGUUUGAAUACAUUGGCCAUGCUGUCAAUCCAGCAUGAUUUAUAUCGCGUUCAAAACAACUGGAAACUCGGAUCUGGAAAAUCUCAGAAUUCAGUGAGUUCAAGACAACUGGGAACUUUGAUAAAACUAGCUCUGACGGGGAAAAUACGGAAAAUUAUUUUGAACGGUCAUCCAACUCGGAAUUCCAAGUCGGGAUUCGGGUCUUGUUCUAGAGCCCACAAGAAGGACCGCGGCGCCACCUUCCUGUUCAAGUGAGCACAGCACAACUAGUGUUCCCUCACAGCAGGUCUGGUCGUGGAAGUGACUUUGUCCCUGGAGAGAUGUAGGGUUCACACAGCAACGUUCUGGCACCUAGACCACAGGGCUGUUUCCCUGACAUACUGGAGGCAGAUGGAGAAAAAGACAGAGUGGGGAGGACCUCUGCAGGAAGUGCAGCUCAGAGCAAGACCCUGAUGAUGCACAGCAGCUUGCAUUGAGAGGCUCUGGAGAGAGUGGUUCAGAAUCGAAGCAGCAGCAGUGGCUUCGCUGGUCAAACUGGUGGUCUCCACAGCACUGGUGGUGAACGGACAUUUUGGUCAGUACCUUCUUUCCUUUAACGACAUUUCCACAGCAAAGCUGGUGGUCUUCGUUGUAAAGCUCUGCAGAACAGGUAAUAAGGACUGAUCAGAUGUACUGUUUAAACGACUGAAUGGCUUUCAAGUGCUCAAGUCUAACGGUCUUGACAUUGUGACGGGGAGUGAGCAUAGAAGCCGUGAGGUGCAGGUGGGAAAUUGGGAAACUUCUUCCAAACAGUUUUCGGAGCAGACAGAUGUAAGGGGUGCGUAAUCGAUGGCAGGGAAGUCAGACGCAGGAGAGCUGAACUUGGUAAUAGCCGGAGCAGUUUAACAGUAAAACCCACGGCAUAAAAAUAACAAGAUAAUUGGGUCCAAAAACCCGUCACGCAUCAAACAACACAUGCACAAGCACUUACAAUAAGCAAUCCCACACAAAGACAUGAGGGGAACAGAGGGUUAUAUACACAACAAAUGAUUGAGGGAAUUGAGGAAAAACAACACAAAACACAUGGAAAAUUAAAAGUGUUUCGAUGAUGGCUAGAAGACUGGCGACGCCGAGCGCCACCCGAACAAGGAGAGGACCCGACCUCUAUUGGAAAGACAGUUUGAAAGCAAAGUCUAAAAUGCACACCACGACAACAUCUCUGUUUAUGCCUUUGUGAAGAAUAAAACAAACACAACUACAUAAUCGAUGAUGACAUCAAUAGAUGUGAAUAGACCUGAUCUCGCUGACCUUUUCC
This is a long non-coding RNA of Oncorhynchus kisutch (coho salmon), 1573 nucleotides long. RefSeq lists it as uncharacterized. The transcript is spliced from 3 exons. The record is from RefSeq and is a predicted model, not a curated record. Lineage: Eukaryota; Metazoa; Chordata; Actinopteri; Salmoniformes; Salmonidae.